GAGUGCACCUAACUUAACUGCUACACCAUGGGGCCGGCCUCUAUUCUUAUUUUAUAAGAUAGCUCCUCACCCUUGCUUCAGAGGAAAAGAGAAAACAAAAAUGGCUGAGUGAAAGUGAUGAGGAGAUGCAAGGAGAGUUUCACAAAAGUGGCUGUUCAGGAUGCAGAAUGAGAUUUAACAGUUUCCUCCUCACUGUGUGUCUCUCAAAUAUAAACCCUGCAGCUAAUGCCUCAGAGAAGCCAGGAUGCUGUUUGGAUAAAGAGACAAGGGAUUCUUGGAAGCUGACCCAGGCAUCUCUGGCAGUCUGAGACACGUGGCCUUGUCGGGGACACCAGAGAAGCCAGGGAUUUGGGGAUGCGCCCCAGGCUUUGGGGAUCAGGCUGAUGUGAGGCCUGGGAGAAAGGCUGCAGAGGAACUUGGACACAUGACCAAAAAGAGGAGAAUUUGAAGAGACAACAAGCUUAUCCAUCAGUUCCAAGGAAAACACCAAGUAGGGACCCCAGAGCCACAAAGUUUUCCUGAAUUGAUGUGGAAGGCAUCAGGAGAGAGCUGGGAACAGAAGUGGUCUAUCUCGUCGAGUUCCUGCUGUUGGGCCAGUUAUGGAAAUCAAAUGGUUGGUAAGCUUGAACUACCUUCUGUGACUCAAGGUUGACGACGGCUGCAAAUCCCAUUCCUCAACACCGCCCCCCCACCCCCACCAUGAUUCAACCCACGCCUCUGGAUGGCAGCUCCCCAGCAAAGAUGAUGAAACUGGGCACAGAGAAAAAAGAAGAAACCAGCCACUCUCUCAUGGCCAGGAAAAGAUAUGUGCAUGUCCACCUUCAUGAAUUUUUGUUCCUUCAGACAAGCGACGAAUUAGAAUAACCUAGGACGCCUUCCAGUGGAUGCUCUCAGGCCCCAGGGAGCACAGAAAACAAUUCUGCCCUUCUAAAAAAGAAAAAGAAAAGAAAAAAGAAAAAAAUACAUAGUAAUGUUUCUUCUUCUUACGCAAAAUUACAGGUGUGACUGAUGGGUUAUUAAUUACAAAACGGCCUUAUUAAGCUCUAAUGAAGGCAUUGGGUUUUUUUUCUUUUAUUCUCUAAGUACUCGUAGAAAAUUUUAGCAUUACAAAUUACUCGAGUCAAAAUUAUUUACCAGUAUGGUAAUUCUUUCCAAGACAACUCUAGACUUGAAGUCAUUUUCCUUACCAGUACCACCCGGUAGAGUAAUUGGCUGCAAUUAGAGAUGACUUUGUCAUUCCUCUCCGAAUCUGGGUUCAGCAUCCGUGAAACAUGCAGAUCCUUUUCUCUUUCCCAAUAGGGAUUUGGAGCUUCUGCAAAUCUUGUCCUCCACUUAGAAAGGGAAAAGGAAGGAGUUCCCCUGUGUAACACA
Long non-coding RNA from Equus caballus (horse), 1371 nucleotides. RefSeq lists it as uncharacterized. NCBI's taxonomy places the organism in Eukaryota, Metazoa, Chordata, Mammalia, Perissodactyla, Equidae. The record is from RefSeq and is a predicted model, not a curated record.